This 468-nucleotide ribosomal RNA is filed under the name uncultured bacterium. RNAcentral's name for it is "partial 16S ribosomal RNA". It matches the Rfam family "Bacterial small subunit ribosomal RNA", at positions 28 to 507 of the family's 1533-position model. The record is from RNAcentral.
GACGAACGCUGGCGGCGUGCUUAACACAUGCAAGUCGAACGGAAAGGCCCUGCUUUUGUGGGGUGCUCGAGUGGCGAACGGGUGAGUAACACGUGAGUAACCUGCCCUUGACUUUGGGAUAACUUCAGGAAACUGGGGCUAAUACCGGAUAGGAGCUCCUGCUGCAUGGUGGGGGUUGGAAAGUUUCGGCGGUUGGGGAUGGACUCGCGGCUUAUCAGCUUGUUGGUGGGGUAGUGGCUUACCAAGGCUUUGACGGGUAGCCGGCCUGAGAGGGUGCCCGGCCACAUUGGGACUGAGAUACGGCCCAGACUCCUACGGUAGGCAGCAGUGGGGAAUAUUGCACAAUGGGCGGAAGCCUGAUGCAGCGACGCCGCGUGCGGGAUGACGGCCUUCGGGUUGUAAACCGCUUUCGCCUGUGACGAAGCGUGAGUGACGGUAAUGGGUAAAGAAGCACCGGCUAACUACGUG